This 1496-nucleotide ribosomal RNA is filed under the name Klebsiella sp. RNAcentral's name for it is "bacterial SSU rRNA". It matches the Rfam family "Bacterial small subunit ribosomal RNA". Lineage: Bacteria; Pseudomonadati; Pseudomonadota; Gammaproteobacteria; Enterobacterales; Enterobacteriaceae. The record is from RNAcentral.
CUCUGCUCAGAUUGAACGCUGGCGGCAGGCCUAACACAUGCAAGUCGAGCGGUAGCACAGAGAGCUUGCUCUCGGGUGACGAGCGGCGGACGGGUGAGUAAUGUCUGGGAAACUGCCUGAUGGAGGGGGAUAACUACUGGAAACGGUAGCUAAUACCGCAUAACGUCGCAAGACCAAAGUGGGGGACCUUCGGGCCUCAUGCCAUCAGAUGUGCCCAGAUGGGAUUAGCUAGUAGGUGGGGUAAUGGCUCACCUAGGCGACGAUCCCUAGCUGGUCUGAGAGGAUGACCAGCCACACUGGAACUGAGACACGGUCCAGACUCCUACGGGAGGCAGCAGUGGGGAAUAUUGCACAAUGGGCGCAAGCCUGAUGCAGCCAUGCCGCGUGUAUGAAGAAGGCCUUCGGGUUGUAAAGUACUUUCAGCGAGGAGGAAGGCAUUAAGGUUAAUAACCUUGGUGAUUGACGUUACUCGCAGAAGAAGCACCGGCUAACUCCGUGCCAGCAGCCGCGGUAAUACGGAGGGUGCAAGCGUUAAUCGGAAUUACUGGGCGUAAAGCGCACGCAGGCGGUCUGUCAAGUCGGAUGUGAAAUCCCCGGGCUCAACCUGGGAACUGCAUUCGAAACUGGCAGGCUAGAGUCUUGUAGAGGGGGGUAGAAUUCCAGGUGUAGCGGUGAAAUGCGUAGAGAUCUGGAGGAAUACCGGUGGCGAAGGCGGCCCCCUGGACAAAGACUGACGCUCAGGUGCGAAAGCGUGGGGAGCAAACAGGAUUAGAUACCCUGGUAGUCCACGCCGUAAACGAUGUCGACUUGGGAGGUUGUGCCCUUGAGGCGUGGCUUCCGGAGCUAACGCGUUAAGUCGACCGCCUGGGGAGUACGGCCGCAAGGUUAAAACUCAAAUGAAUUGACGGGGGCCCGCACAAGCGGUGGAGCAUGUGGUUUAAUUCGAUGCAACGCGAAGAACCUUACCUACUCUUGACAUCCAGAGAACUUAGCAGAGAUGCUUUGGUGCCUUCGGGAACUCUGAGACAGGUGCUGCAUGGCUGUCGUCAGCUCGUGUUGUGAAAUGUUGGGUUAAGUCCCGCAACGAGCGCAACCCUUAUCCUUUGUUGCCAGCGGUUCGGCCGGGAACUCAAAGGAGACUGCCAGUGAUAAACUGGAGGAAGGUGGGGAUGACGUCAAGUCAUCAUGGCCCUUACGAGUAGGGCUACACACGUGCUACAAUGGCAUAUACAAAGAGAAGCGACCUCGCGAGAGCAAGCGGACCUCAUAAAGUAUGUCGUAGUCCGGAUUGGAGUCUGCAACUCGACUCCAUGAAGUCGGAAUCGCUAGUAAUCGUAGAUCAGAAUGCUACGGUGAAUACGUUCCCGGGCCUUGUACACACCGCCCGUCACACCAUGGGAGUGGGUUGCAAAAGAAGUAGGUAGCUUAACCUUCGGGAGGGCGCUUACCACUUUGUGAUUCAUGACUGGGGUGAAGUCGUAACAAGUUAACCGUAA